RNAcentral lists this ribosomal RNA (467 nucleotides) under uncultured bacterium. Its description in RNAcentral is "partial 16S ribosomal RNA". It matches the Rfam family "Bacterial small subunit ribosomal RNA", at positions 28 to 506 of the family's 1533-position model. The record is from RNAcentral.
GACGAACGCUGGCGGCGUGCUUAACACAUGCAAGUCGAACGGAAAGGCCCUGCUUUUGUGGGGUGCUCGAGUGGCGAACGGGUGAGUAACACGUGAGUAACCUGCCCUUGACUUUGGGAUAACUUCAGGAAACUGGGGCUAAUACCGGAUAGGAGCUCCUGCUGCAUGGUGGGGGUUGGAAAGUUUCGGCGGUUGGGGAUGGACUCGCGGCUUAUCAGCUUGUUGGUGGGGUAGUGGCUUACCAAGGCUUUGACGGGUAGCCGGCCUGAGAGGGUGACCGGCCACAUUGGGACUGAGAUACGGCCCAGGCUCCUACGGGAGGCAGCAGUGGGGAAUAUUGCACAAUGGGCGGAAGCCUGAUGCAGCAACGCCGCGUGCGGGAUGACGGCCUUCGGGUUGUAAACCGCUUUCGCCUGUGACGAAGCGCGAGUGACGGGAAUGGGUAAAGAAGCACCGGCUAACUACGG